Molecule: ribosomal RNA, 468 nt
Filed under: uncultured bacterium
Lineage: Bacteria
Description: partial 16S ribosomal RNA
Rfam family: Bacterial small subunit ribosomal RNA
Source: RNAcentral
GACGAACGCUGGCGGCGUGCUUAACACAUGCAAGUCGAACGGAAAGGCCCUGCUUUUGUGGGGUGCUUGAGUGGCGAACGGGUGAGUAACACGUGAGUAACCUGCCCUUGACUUUGGGAUAACUUCAGGAAACUGGGGCUAAUACCGGAUAGGAGCACCUGCUGCAUGGUGGGGGUUGGAAAGUUUCGGCGGUUGGGGAUGGACUCGCGGCUUAUCAGCUUGUUGGUGGGGUAGUGGCUUACCAAGGCUUUGACGGGUAGCCGGCCUGAGAGGGUGACCGGCCACAUUGGGACUGAGAUACGGCCCAGACUCCUACGGGAGGCAGCAGUGGGGAAUAUUGCACAAUGGGCGGAAGCCUGAUGCAGCAACGCCGCGUGCGGGAUGACGGCCUUCGGGUUGUAAACCGCUUUCGCCUGUGACGAAGCGUGAGUGACGGUAAUGGGUAAAGAAGCACCGGCUAACUACGUG